UAUGACUCCCCACGUGGCGUCAUCUUCGGUCACCUCCCCAGGGUAGGAAUACAGCAAGGAAACCGGGGCUCUGAUGGGUGCGUGGGGAGUCCUUUGC
Molecule: signal recognition particle RNA, 97 nt
Filed under: Arcanobacterium sp.
Lineage: Bacteria; Bacillati; Actinomycetota; Actinomycetes; Actinomycetales; Actinomycetaceae
Also listed under: 1 other name
Description: signal recognition particle sRNA small type
Rfam family: Bacterial small signal recognition particle RNA
About the family: The signal recognition particle (SRP) is a universally conserved ribonucleoprotein involved in the co-translational targeting of proteins to membranes.
Source: RNAcentral